AGGGACGGACGGGAGGGAUGGAGGAAGGCAGGGAAGGGAGGGAUCGGGACAGCGGGGAUUUCGGCACCGCGAGCCCGAGGGGACAGGGGGGCGGUGAGGAGGCGGCCUGAGAGCUCCGGAGACCGGCGAGACCUUGGUGGCCCCUUCUCCCUGAGGACAUCCUUCGCCUUCAGGGGAUCCUCCUCCCUGAGGGGACUCCCUUCUUUGAGGGAAAUCUCCCUGACCCUCUUUCCUGAGACAGCCUUUCUCCCCGGGGAGACCCUUCUCCCUGAAGGAACCCUCCUUCCUGAGGUGUUUCUUUUUGGCCCUGGGGGGACCCUUUCUCCAAAAGAGACCCUUUUCGCUGAGAGGACCCUUCUCCUCGAGAGGACCCUCCUUUUUGAGGGAACCCUCCUCCCUGAAAGACCCUUUGCCCUGAGGGGACCCUCCUUUUUGAAGUGACCCUUCUCUCUGAGGGGACUGUCCUCCCUGAGGUGUUUCUUGUCCCUGAGGGGACCUUUUACCCUACAGAGACCCUCCUUUUUGAGGGAACUCUGCUCCCUUAGGAGACCCUUUUCCCUGAGGAGACCCUUCUCCCUGAGCCGCCCUGCCCCUAAAACGUUUUUCAAAAAUAAAAAUUCAGAGCUGUAGCUGGGGCAGAGCGACCACCCCCAGCAGCCUGUAUCAGAGCUGAGGUGCCGCGAUGGCCUGUGCUGAGGCAUUUUAAAAACCAUCCCAAAAAUUAUGCCUGGAAGAUCCGUGGCAGAAGGUGCUGCCAGCCCUGAUCUGUGCUGGAAACAGCUCUUGGCUUUUGGGAAGGAAAAGGCUGUGUGUAAUGUACACAAACAAACAAACAAACACACACAAACAAACACACAAACAAACAAACACACACAAACACACACACACAAACAAACACACAAACAAACAAACACACACACUUUCAUUUUCAGGGUAAACAGUCAGGGGCUGGUGAAUUUCAAUGUCAAUGGGGAGCGGAGGGAAAACACAACAGUUUCUCAAUGAAUGGGUUAAACUUCUGUCUCCUGACUGGCAAAAUCAGCCCGAUCUGAGGCUGAGGGGUAAAAAGGCUGUACAAGGGCUGAGGGACCAGUGCAAGAUCACAGGGAUUGUGCUUAGAAAUCAACCCUGCACUUCAGUCAGAUGUGAAUACCUGUGAGAAAAAUUAAAACUUCAGUGGUCGAAAACUGGUCCCAGAAUUCACUUUUUUUUCAGGUUAACUAUUUUCUAUCUCAGCAGCCUUCUCCUUGCACUUUCAGCCACAGGGUUUGGCUCCUGUAACAUACCAAGGCCUUUGCCUUCAUAGCAGUGACACCUCAAUGGACUGUGCUUUGUCUGACUCCAGUUGGUUUCCUCGCAGCCCAAGCUCAGUGUGAAGACUCCUCCUCCUUCCAGCCAGGGGGAAGAUGUGCAGAUUCCCACAAAGCUGGUGAGUUCCUGUAACCAAAUGGAACAGAUGAGAGCUAGAAACACAUUGACCAGAAUUCCAAGGAGACCACGUUUGAACCAGUGGAUACAGAUUUCGACUUGUUACAGUCACCACUAGAGGCACAGGAGUUACCCGGCUUGUGUCAGCAGGCUGUGUCUGGAGAAUCUCUUUCAGCCCGGAAAUACAAGAUUAGAGAUUCUGAUCUAACCUACCUUGCCCCAAGACUGACUGACCAGUAUCACCUUCACAAACAUAUGAUGACUUCAUGACCUUUUUCUCCAACUACUGAGCACAGAACCAGCCAAAGGGUACCUGGCCUGCCUUAGCUCCAAGCAGCCAGUUUUGCAAAGAUAGGUUCUGCUUUAGCCUCUUUUGUUCAAGUCCCUGUGAGCUGUGGGUUUAUUUGCCUUGUCUGUCAAUCUAAACCGAGCUUCCUGCUGCUACUGGAUGGUGUUUUGUCACUGCCUGUGACAGUGGGCUGUAAAUGCAGGGUAACUAACUCUUAAGGCCACAAGGUACUCACACUAAAUCAGCCAGAUUAUGCUCCUGCUGAGGGGGAAUUUCCAGGUCACAAAUUGACACCCUCUCAUCACCUUUUUGCACCAAGAGUGUAUAAAGUCAAGUUAAAACCUGGUGCAUAAGGGCAACAGUCCACAGAACUCCUGAAAUGAGUAGUCACUUCCUCAUGUAUAUUCUCAGAUACCCAGCAGAGCUAGUCAAGUGUCCCCAGCUUUGUUUCUGCCAGUAAGAAAGAGAGAAUACACUAAGAUGCCUUUUAAGGACAUUCAGGAAUAUACUGGUGUAUUAAAAAGAGGAAGAAAAUGCAAGAGGGUUCUAAAAGCAAUUGUGGCUAAUUUUGUGAAUUGCUGAUAGACUUGUGUUUGUUUGCAGAGGGAAAAAAAACAAACCCACAAAACCCCAAACUGUUUUAUUUAAAAGACUGUAUAUCUUUGACUUGCAUAAAAGGAAGAAGUUUGGUUUUAUUAGUUUGCCAAGACUACAGAAAAUCUAAAUGGCCUUAGUUCCAAAUAAUUCUCAUAUCAGUAAAGUCUCAUUUCAAGCAAGUCUCCUUCAGUUAAAGGAAAUUAUUGCAAGGUAACAAUGGAAUGUAAAUUAUGAGCUGAGCAGCUGUGUCUUUAUAUCAAGCACUUUUGUUUUAUUCAGAUUAUCUUUUAUUCCCUUUAAAAUUAUUUUUUCUCCUACCUUGAGUUAAAAGAGAGAAAUUUUGCUGCUCCUCAGUUUUGCAGAUGUGUGUUAAGGUUGUUACCCUCUCUGUCAGUGAUGCAGAGAAUCAUUCUGAUUCACCUUUGCACUGUGUUCUUAUUGAAGGCCUGCUGAGACAGGGACCCUGCUGUGCCAAAGACUGUGCAGACAGAGAGACAGAGGAUUUCUGUUCCCAAGAGCUUAUAAUUAGCUACAUUCACACAUACAUUGAGCAGAACACCAGUCCUCUCAGCCACAGACAUCAGAGAACUCCAAAAAAUGGUGUGGAGUGUGUCUAUCAGAGUCCAAAGUCUUUGGCUUACCUGGAGUAAACAAGUGCCCACAACAGGGUGGUUAUUGCCCAAAGCAAUACUUCCCAAACCAGUGCAGAUUGUAGGAGCAUCCAGUUGUUGCUGCCUGCUCAGUGCUGGGAUCUCUGCUCCAGAAAUAUCUGGGAAAAGGUGAGAAGAUGAGACAUGGGAUAUGUGUGUGAGGAAGCUGUUCCUGCCUCAUGCCUUUCCCAGGGGUGUAGAUAUAUGCAUAUAUACCAUAUAUAGUAUGCAGUCAUGUCCCUGUACUGCUCAGCAUUACCAAAUUACUCCAAUCAGUUGCAGGGGUUUUUUUAAUCAAAACUUCAGGCUAUAAAAGCCAGGUUCUGGAGUAGCUUCCUAUGUAAUCCAGCAGCUUCCUAUGUGAUCCAGCAGCUUUCUGUGUGAUCCAACAGCUUCCUGUGUGAUCCAGGUGUGCUGCCUACUAGAGCCAUAGGCUGUGGAAGGAAGUUAGGGUAGUAAAUUGCUUCCAUCUCAGUGUUUAUUCCAUGUGUGGGAUAAGUCCAGUGCCUUCACAAAACAAAUGUGGCAGAUGUGUCUCCCACAGCUGCUCUCCAGAACAAAACACAGCAGCUUUCUCUUUAUUUUCUGUUUUCAGGUUGUACUUUAUCUCAUAAGAGUGAAACCAUCAUUAAGAACAAAUAGUCUUAAACUGCAAAUCCAACUAUUCUCCACAGCACAAUGAGCUGUUAAAGGUCAGACUGGCUCUUUACAGCUUGGGCCCAAUUAUGCAUUACAAACAAGCAAGAGGAUAACGUGCUUUUAUCCUGAGUAAGGUACCAGUUAGAUCAAGAUCAUAGCAGAGAGCUGUGACAGCUUUGAAGGGCUGCCUGUAAGUCAUCUGCUGCUGGAGGUGACUCAGAGAGUGUGUCCCCGGAGAAGGCUCAAGUUGCAGUUUAAAGCAGUGAUUUUCAACACUAAACAGGAGAUACGUGACAGAUCAGAGUCCAAACCAAGCUCUGCCUUUAUAUUGGGCUCUGCUGGCAGCUGAUGUGGGGAAGGGGAGAUUCAGGGUGGUGGGGAGGAGAAGGUGAAGUGAUGAAAUGCUCUGUGUGAUCGGUUGGGAGUGAAAAAUGAUAAAAACCUCUUUUUUUCUUUUUCCCCGAGGUCUGUUCUUGUCUUGCUCUGUGGCCUCAGGCAGGUUAGUUGUACAUCUCUCCAUACAAAUCCUGCAAGAGUGCAGGGUGUAAUGCCCCUGAUUUUUCUCAACUGCUGUAGCAACAUGCUUUCUAACAACACAGGGAGGAAAAGUAACAGCACUGUUGUUACAGGUUCCCCUGAAACCACCUUUUUGUUCCCAUCCUGCAGAAGGACCCCCCUUGCCUUAGGCACCUCCUUUCAGAGCUGAUGUACCUGCCAAGCAGGAGUUGCACAGAAUAAAACUGAUUCCUUUGGCUUGAGGUGCAUCAAAAAACCACUUUGCACUCAAAAGCAGCCACAAAUCUGGCAGGAGCAUGAGGCCACCACCAAAACUGGGUGUUACACGAUACCUUAUUCCACUUGGGAAGAGCUGGCUGUUUCUAUGGCUACUGCUGCCUUUCUCUCCAACACACCAACCAUUGGUUCUGAUGAGAUCAUAUUGUAUUAUAGAAAAAAAAAAAUCACUCACAUACUGCUUUACACUGCAGCAUUUGUUGAGCUACUAUAUAUCUGACUUCCUAUAAUAAAGACAUUUUCCAUUUAAUGUAUUCUUGUAAACGGGUAGGAUUUCCCUCAUCUCUGAUUUAUAAAUGCAUCCAUUUUGGCCUCGAAAAUCCUGGUUCUGGUUUCCAUGACAACAGGCUUGAUUUUUGAGGCUAUUUCUUCCCCUUACUUCAUCUUGGGUGGGAAGAGUUUCUGUCCCCUUCCAGUAGCAGUGCAAUGGGCAAGCAAAAUGGUUGCCUUGAAGGAGAAUGAGCAGACCUGAAAGCAGAAACUUCAGCCAGCUUUUUUAAACACAGGUGAGAAAUGCAUGAGAAGAAUGGCACCACAAACCUAGCACAGGCUUGAGUCAGAUUUUUUGUACACAGAAAGUCAAAUGCACAUAUAAUCCCAGGAUAUUUUAGUCAUGUACCCCCCUGUCAGGUAUUUAACAAACUGAUCUGGUAGCCCUGAAUAGCACUGUGUUGGCACAUGACAAAAUAAUCAGAGGAUCUCGUCAGUCUGUUCAUAUUGUAACCUUGUAGAUUAAUUAGUACUGAAUGCACUUUAUUAUUUGAAAUACACUCUCACUGUCUCUAUUUUUUCCCUCAGUACAUCCCAUCUACAGUACUGGACUGCCAGGACUGUCUCUAUCAUAGAUCAUUCACAGCUAAACCAUAUUCUUUCAAUGUGGAACAGUGCAUUUGAGACUCUGAGUACUAAAGGCACCAUAAAUAAUCCAUAACUGCUUUGCAAGGAUCUUUCUAGUGGGUUUUUUCACUUUUAACAUUUCCAGGAAAAAUGAAGAUAGACAGCUGCUGGUACUCCAUGGCUGAAGUGGUUUAGCAAUUGCUGUUCUAAAAUGAUAAAAAGGUGGUUUUUGCAAACUCCUCAGAAAAUCCCUGGAGAGGGCCUUUGUUCCUUUUUCCUGCAGAGAAGAAACACAACUUACCUACAUCCUUCUGGGUAAUAAGUACCUUCAAGUGUGCCAUCCACUAAAGGUGCAGAUGAAACGUCUCUCUUUGGUUUGUCAUAGAGUUUUUCUUACUUUCUGUGAGUGAAAGAUAUUAUGGAACCACAGUGUCUAAGGUAUCAUUGCAUUAUGGCAUUAUAAUCUCAUUUGCAUUUGAGCUGGGAGCAGCCUGAUAAAGCUGUUCCUUAAACUAGUACAGGAUUGCUCCCAGUGUUUAAUCUGAAUGCUGGAGCUACCAGCCCAUCUUUUUGGAGCAGGUGUAGGUCAGGUAUUUUGCACUAAGACAGAAGGCAGGAGUACCUCAUUUAGGCAUGUUUUAUCCACACUGUUGUAACCUGCCAGUAAUUUACAUUAGAGGCUGGCCUGUGACCCCCAAACAAAGCACAGUCCCCACCUGGGCAGCCCCUGACACAUCUCAGGGUAGAAUGAGAUUAUCACUGAAAGCCAAGCAGAGUUCAGAGUGAAUCAAUAUCAGGCACAACACAAAAGUGAUUCAGUGAUUGCCUUAAAUAACCACAGGUUUUCCCUUCUGUCAUGACUAAACCAUCCUGCCCUAACAGCCAGUCCCUUGGGGACAAUGAAGUCACAGCAGCACAAUUUCAGCUGUGCAGCCAACUAGAGACAAUAUGAGCACCCUUGUCUUCUCUGCCCUACCAUGGCAUGGAGGGGAUUAAAAAGUGAGUCAUUGGCUGGAAAAAGUACUGAUCCUGUGGCAGUAGGAUGAGUCUUAAAAAAGCUCUUGCAUUCUGUAAAGGUUAAUUGUAAGAGUGGUGAAGCAGGAAGACACAACUGAAAACAGUGAAACCUAUGCAUUGUGUGCUGUUAACUUCUCAGAUAUUAACGUUUCCUUCUCUAAAAUGCUCUCACACUUAAAACACUUCAGUGGAUUUAUAACCCAGGACAAUGAAAAAAAAAAUACAAUUUUUACUUGUUUGGGUUUGUCCUCAUUUCAUGUGAUAUUGUACCACACAAGAGUAUUGUGUUGAAAUCCUAAAUGUUGUUUGUUGUACUGCCUGAAAGUUCCUCCAAAUAGUUAAUUGAUUCUUGCUUUUCAUGUAGCCCAGAGCAAGUUUAGAGGAAAUAAAUGUAACAUGAGUUAGUCAUCCUUAAAUAAUCUCAAAGCAGGGAGCCCUACAUUAACAGCAGGCUGAUAAUAAGCUGUGUAGUGCUAUCUCCAGCAAAGCUUUGCCCAUGACUUCGAAUAAAUUUACGAGCUGUCA
Long non-coding RNA from Pseudopipra pipra, 6774 nucleotides. RefSeq lists it as uncharacterized. The transcript has 4 exons. The record is from RefSeq and is a predicted model, not a curated record. Lineage: Eukaryota; Metazoa; Chordata; Aves; Passeriformes; Pipridae.